GUUGUAUGGUUAAGUGACUAAGCGUACACGGUGGAUGCCUUGGCAGUUGGAGGCGAUGAAGGACGUACUAACUUGCGAUAAGCCUAGUCAAGCCAGUAAGAGGCGCUUGAGACUAGGAUUUCCGAAUGGGGAAACCCACCUGCUUUGCAGGUAUCGUUAACUGAAUACAUAGGUUAACGAGGCGAACGCGGAGAACUGAAACAUCUAAGUACCCGUAGGAAAAGAAAUCAACCGAGAUUCCGAAAGUAGCGGCGAGCGAAAUCGGAGCAGCCCUUAAGCUUUAAUGUAGUUAGUGGAAUAUGCUGGAAAGCAUGACGAAACAGGGUGAUAGUCCCGUACACGACAACUUAUUUAAAGUGAAAUCGAGUAGGUCGGAGCACGUGAAACUUUGACUGAAUAUGGGGGACCAUCCUCCAAGGCUAAAUACUCCCAACUGACCGAUAGUGAACCAGUACCGUGAGGGAAAGGCGAAAAGAACCCCUGUGAGGGAGUGAAAUAGAACCUGAAACCGUGUACGUACAAGCAGUAGGAGCCUACUUUUUGGGUGACUGCGUACCUUUUGUAUAAUGGGUCAGCGACUUAUAUUCUGUAGCGAGGUUAACCAUUUAGGGGAGCCGUAGCGAAAGCGAGUCUUAACUGGGCGCUUAAGUUGCAGGGUAUAGACCCGAAACCCGGUGAUCUAGCCAUGGGCAGGUUGAAGGUUGAGUAACAUCAACUGGAGGACCGAACCCACUAACGUUGAAAAGUUAGGGGAUGACCUGUGGCUAGGAGUGAAAGGCUAAUCAAACCGGGAGAUAGCUGGUUCUCCCCGAAAUCUAUUUAGGUAGAGCCUCGGACGAAUACUUACGGGGGUAGAGCACUGUUAAGGCUAGGGGUCAUCCCGACUUACCAACCCUUUGCAAACUCCGAAUACCGUAAAGUAAUAUCCGGGAGACACACGGCGGGUGCUAACGUCCGUCGUGGAGAGGGAAACAACCCAGACCGUCAGCUAAGGUCCCAAAGUGUAUGUUAAGUGGGAAACGAUGUGGGAAGGCUAAAACAGCUAGGAGGUUGGCUUAGAAGCAGCCACCCUUUAAAGAAAGCGUAAUAGCUCACUAGUCGAGUCGGCCUGCGCGGAAGAUGUAACGGGGCUAAACAUACCACCGAAGCUACGGCUGCAGACUUUGUCUGCGGGGUAGGGGAGCGUUCUGUAAGUGGCUGAAGGUGUGCCGGGAGGCAUGCUGGACAUAUCAGAAGUGCGAAUGCUGACAUGAGUAACGACAAGAGGAGUGAAAAACUCCUCCGCCGGAAGACCAAGGGUUCCUAUCCCAUGUUAAUCAGGGUAGGGUGAGUCGACCCCUAAGGCGAGGCUGAAGAGCGUAGUCGAUGGGAAACGGGUUAAUAUUCCCGUACUCGGUAUGAAUGCGAUGGGGGGACGGAGCAGGCUAGGCAAGCAUGGCGUUGGUUGUCCAUGUGAAAGGCUGUAGGCUGGUGACUUAGGAAAAUCCGGGUUGCCAAGGCUGAGAGUCGAGACGAGCCACUAAGGUGGUGAAGUUGUUGAUGCCCUACUUCCAGGAAAAGCCUCUAAGCUUCAGUUCAUACUGAAUCGUACCCUAAACCGACACAGGUGGUCAGGUAGAGAAUACUAAGGCGCUUGAGAGAACUCGGGUGAAGGAACUAGGCAAAAUUGUACCGUAACUUCGGGAGAAGGUACGCUCUUGUUUGUGAAAGACUUGCUCUGUAAGCAAACGAGAGCCGCAGUGACCAGGUGGCUGGGACUGUUUAUUAAAAACACAGCACUGUGCAAAAUCGUAAGAUGACGUAUACGGUGUGACACCUGCCCGGUGCCGGAAGGUUAAUUGAUGGGGUUAGCUUAGGCGAAGCUCUUGAUCGAAGCCCCGGUAAACGGCGGCCGUAACUAUAACGGUCCUAAGGUAGCGAAAUUCCUUGUCGGGUAAGUUCCGACCUGCACGAAUGGUGUAACCAUGGCCACGCUGUCUCCACCCGAGACUCAGUGAAAUUGAAAUCGCAGUGAAGAUGCUGUGUACCCGCGGCUAGACGGAAAGACCCCGUGAACCUUUACUACAGCUUGGCACUGAACAUUGACCCUACAUGUGUAGGAUAGGUGGGAGGCUUUGAAGCGCGCACGCUAGUGCACGUGGAGCCGACCUUGAAAUACCACCCUUGUAGUGUUGAUGUUCUAACUUAGGCCCCUGAAUCGGGGUUGAGGACAGUGCCUGGUGGGUAGUUUGACUGGGGCGGUCUCCUCCCAAAGAGUAACGGAGGAGCACGAAGGUUUGCUAAGUACGGUCGGACAUCGUACGGUUAGUGUAAUGGUAGAAGCAAGCUUAACUGCGAGACAGACACGUCGAGCAGGUACGAAAGUAGGUCAUAGUGAUCCGGUGGUUCUGAAUGGAAGGGCCAUCGCUCAACGGAUAAAAGGUACUCCGGGGAUAACAGGCUGAUACCGCCCAAGAGUUCAUAUCGACGGCGGUGUUUGGCACCUCGAUGUCGGCUCAUCACAUCCUGGGGCUGAAGUCGGUCCCAAGGGUAUGGCUGUUCGCCAUUUAAAGUGGUACGCGAGCUGGGUUUAGAACGUCGUGAGACAGUUCGGUCCCUAUCUGCCGUGGGCGUUUGAGAAUUGAGAGGGGCUGCUCCUAGUACGAGAGGACCGGAGUGGACGAACCGCUGGUGUUCGGGUUGUGAUGCCAAUUGCAUUGCCCGGUAGCUACGUUCGGAAUCGAUAACCGCUGAAAGCAUCUAAGCGGGAAGCGAGCCUCGAGAUGAGUUCUCACUUUGACUUAGAGUCAACUGAAGGGCCGUUGAAGACUACAACGUUGAUAGGCGAGAUGUGGAAGUGCUGUGAGGCAUUAAGCUAACUCGUACUAAUUACCCGUGAGGCUUAACCAUACAACGCCAAAGUGGUUU
This 2907-nucleotide ribosomal RNA is filed under the name Pseudoalteromonas piscicida. RNAcentral describes it as "bacterial LSU rRNA". It matches the Rfam family "Bacterial large subunit ribosomal RNA". The record is from RNAcentral. Lineage: Bacteria; Pseudomonadati; Pseudomonadota; Gammaproteobacteria; Alteromonadales; Pseudoalteromonadaceae.